RNAcentral lists this ribosomal RNA (414 nucleotides) under uncultured bacterium. Its description in RNAcentral is "bacterial SSU rRNA". It matches the Rfam family "Bacterial small subunit ribosomal RNA", at positions 358 to 770 of the family's 1533-position model. The record is from RNAcentral.
GGAAUAUUGCGCAAUGGGCGAAAGCCUGACGCAGCUACGCCGCGUGGAGGAAGACACCCCUAUGGGGCGUAAACUCCUUUUAUAUGAGAAGAAAGUCCCGACAUGUCGGGGCCUGACGGUAUCAUAUGAAUAAGCACCGGCUAACUCCGUGCCAGCAGCCGCGGUAAUACGGAGGGUGCAAGCGUUGUCCGGAAUCACUGGGUGUAAAGGGUGUGUAGGCGGGACGGCAAGUCAGAGGUGAAAUCCUGCAGCUUAACUGUAGAACUGCCUUUGAUACUGCUGUUCUUGAGUAUCGGAGAGGUCGCUGGAAUUCGUGGUGUAGCGGUGAAAUGCGUAGAUAUCACGAGGAACACCAGAGGCGUAGGCGGGCGACUGGACGAUUACUGACGCUGAGGCACGAAAGCGUGGGGAGCA